GACGAACGCUGGCGGCGUGCUUAACACAUGCAGGUCGAACGGAAAGGCCCUGCUUUUGUGGGGUGCUCGAGUGGCGAACGGGUGAGUAACACGUGAGUAACCUGCCCUUGACUUUGGGAUAACUUCAGGAAACUGGGGCUAAUACCGGAUAGGAGCUCCUGCUGCAUGGUGGGGGUUGGAAAGUUUCGGUGGUUGGGGAUGGACUCGCGGCUUAUCAGCUUGUUGGUGGGGUAGUGGCUUACCAAGGCUUUGACGGGUAGCCGGCCUGAGAGGGUGACCGGCCACAUUGGGACUGAGAUACGGCCCAGACUCCUACGGGAGGCAGCAGUGGGGAAUAUUGCACAAUGGGCGGAAGCCUGAUGCAGCAACGCCGCGUGCGGGAUGACGGCCUUCGGGUUGUAAACCGCUUUCGCCUGUGACGAAGCGUGAGUGACGGUAAUGGGUAAAGAAGCACCGGCUAACUACG
This 466-nucleotide ribosomal RNA is filed under the name uncultured bacterium. Its description in RNAcentral is "partial 16S ribosomal RNA". It matches the Rfam family "Bacterial small subunit ribosomal RNA", at positions 28 to 505 of the family's 1533-position model. The record is from RNAcentral.